Molecule: non-coding RNA, 85 nt
Organism: Daphnia pulex (common water flea)
Lineage: Eukaryota; Metazoa; Arthropoda; Branchiopoda; Diplostraca; Daphniidae
Source: Rfam
GACCAUGUUGCCUAAUGGAUAAGGCGUCGGACUUCUAAAAUUAGUUGACAUCCGAAAAUUGCGGGUUAUAGUCACGCCUUGGUUA